UAAGAGACCGUAACAAUGAUUAAAUUCAUCCGCCUACUAAGCCUACUACUACUCGCAUCCAAUAUGCGCGGUAUGCUUAUGGACGGAAGAUAACGAGUUACAGUCCAGAAGAUAAAAACCCGCGCUAGCCGCGGGUUUUUUU
Providencia sneebia DSM 19967 is the source of this 142-nucleotide regulatory RNA element. It matches the Rfam family "Leucine operon leader". Rfam says of the family: At least 6 amino acid operons are known to be regulated by attenuation. Lineage: Bacteria; Pseudomonadati; Pseudomonadota; Gammaproteobacteria; Enterobacterales; Morganellaceae. The record is from Rfam.